Molecule: ribosomal RNA, 271 nt
Filed under: uncultured archaeon
Lineage: Archaea
Description: partial 16S ribosomal RNA
Rfam family: Archaeal small subunit ribosomal RNA
Source: RNAcentral
CAGCGCCACGAGUGGCAAUCGCGUUUAUUGGGCCUAAAGCGUCCGUAGCAGGUUUUGUAAAUCUCUUGUGAAAUUGUCUCGCUUAACGAGACAGGGUGCAGGAGACACUGCAAGACUUGAGACCGGGAAGGGUAAGAGGUAUUCCUGAGGGAGCGGUAAAAUGCUAUAAUCUCAGGAGGACCACCUGUGGCGAAGGCGUCUUACUAGAACGGAUCUGACUGUGAGGGACGAAAGCUAGGGGAGCAAACCGGAUUAGAUACCCGAGUAGUCC